UUCCCCUGAGAGAGAAACACCCACCACACUGCAAAAAAAACCAACCACCUAACCCAGUUAAACAUAUCUCUUAUUAUUUGAACUUUAAUCAAACAUAUCCUAUCAAAACGCCUGCUUAGUGAAUGUUAGUUUUGUUAUUUUCCAAUGCAGCUGGUAUUUUUAUUCUGGUAACGUUUUUUUACUAAGACUAAUGAGUAAUUGCUGACCAUUUUUGAAGAUACAGGAUGAAAAACCGUAAAUUUAAUUAAGCUUUAUUGGAAAUAAGUAGGAUGGUCUCACUUUUCCUGUUUCAGCCAUAGACAUAGUCAUCCUACCUGAUGGACAAAUACAUCAACCGGCUCGUCCAGUGGCACUCCCUCACGGUUGGUCAUGGACAGGAACCCGAAGCCCAUGCGGACAUUGAACCAUUUACACACGCCGACCCCGUGGAAAGACUGUGAAUCCUCCUCGGUGCUUGGUCCCUCAUCCUCCUCGGUCUUACACACUCCUGCAAUGAAAAGUGUGUGUAAUUAAAAGAAAAUCAGCAUACUGUUGUUAGUGUGCUGAUGUUUAAAACGCAGACACUGUUUCCCCAAAAGUGCAUUUGAACAAGGUUUUAAAACGCGAAAAACUUUAUUCCUUUCUCUGGCGUUGCAACAUCAUCAAUCAAUAUGAAUCAAUAAAAUGAGUAACAUAC
This is a long non-coding RNA of Perca flavescens (yellow perch), 676 nucleotides long. RefSeq lists it as uncharacterized. The transcript is spliced from 2 exons. NCBI's taxonomy places the organism in Eukaryota, Metazoa, Chordata, Actinopteri, Perciformes, Percidae. The record is from RefSeq and is a predicted model, not a curated record.